UGGCUCAGAUUGAACGCUGGCGGCAUGCUUUACACAUGCAAGUCGAGCGGCAGCGCGGGGGCAACCCUGGCGGCGAGCGGCGAACGGGUGAGGAAUACAUCGGAACGUGCCCGAGAGUGGGGAUAACGCCGCGAAAGCGGCGCUAAUACCGCAUAUUCUCUGAGGAGGAAAGUGGGGGACCGCAAGGCCUCACGCUCACGGAGCGGCCGAUGUCGGAUUAGCUAGUUGGUGGGGUAAAGGCUUACCAAGGCGACGAUCCGUAGCUGGUCUGAGAGGAUGAUCAGCCACACUGGGACUGAGACACGGCCCAGACUCCUACGGGAGGCAGCAGUGGGGAAUUUUGGACAAUGGGGCAACCCUGAUCCAGCCAUGCCGCGUGCGGGAAGAAGGCCUUCGGGUUGUAAACCGCUUUUAACCGGGAAGAAAAGGCAUCUCUUAAUACGGGGUGUUCUUGACGGUACCGGUGGAAUAAGCACCGGCUAACUACGUG
This 490-nucleotide ribosomal RNA is filed under the name uncultured bacterium. Its description in RNAcentral is "bacterial SSU rRNA". It matches the Rfam family "Bacterial small subunit ribosomal RNA", at positions 20 to 507 of the family's 1533-position model. The record is from RNAcentral.